Molecule: non-coding RNA, 500 nt
Organism: Paramuricea clavata
Lineage: Eukaryota; Metazoa; Cnidaria; Anthozoa; Malacalcyonacea; Plexauridae
Source: the annotation of a GenBank genome assembly
AUCCCGCUUUAUUUCACCUCUCCUCACUGUCCCCCAAUCGAGUGGGAUGUUUCACAAAAUCCUAUUUAUUCCACCUUAUCUGACUUUCGCGUAAUAUCCCACCUAAUCACACCCCAACUGAUCUUUCUUGACCAGACCUGAUUUUAUCUCAAUUCACCAGACGUACCUAUAACCUCACCUCAUCUCAUGUCACCCCAACUUACUUCACCUAAUUUGAUCUUACAGUAUGUAAUCUCACUUGACCUGACCUUAUACCUCAUCACUAUACCUAAACUCACCUAACCUAACUAGAGUAUUAAAUAUUAAUCUCAUAUCACCUCACCUGAUGACAUCAGACGCCCGACUUAACUACACGCGUAAAACGCUGAGCCCACUGUUUAACAGGAUUGAACAAUGUUUUGCUGCCCACGUUGUUCACACUUGUCAACAAUAUUGAACAAUAUUGUUGAGCCUGAAUCGGAUGUAACAAUAUUAAUAACUUACUGACCGAGAGUGAGUGC